UGUGCAUUGCAGACUUUUUGUUGUUGCCUUUUCGGAUGUGCAUGCACGAGGAACUUCCUUCUUUGGAACUGCUUCUUGACCUGUUUCGGAUAUUUCGUCUCCUGGCCUGGCUUAUUUCGUUUCGGCGCUGCUGAGACCUCCUUUCGCGGAAUAUUACUCAAUGACAGUGUGCGAAGAACGCGAGUUCACCUUCUUGACGAAAAUCGUGGACUAACAGUUUGAAGUAAUUGAACUACUUCCAAAAGUUGUAUCGACAUCAACAGGAUUACGAUUUCAGU
Long non-coding RNA from Sycon ciliatum, 278 nucleotides. RefSeq lists it as uncharacterized. The record is from RefSeq and is a predicted model, not a curated record. NCBI's taxonomy places the organism in Eukaryota, Metazoa, Porifera, Calcarea, Leucosolenida, Sycettidae. The transcript has 3 exons.